RNAcentral lists this ribosomal RNA (253 nucleotides) under uncultured bacterium. RNAcentral describes it as "partial 16S ribosomal RNA". It matches the Rfam family "Bacterial small subunit ribosomal RNA", at positions 524 to 776 of the family's 1533-position model. The record is from RNAcentral.
UACGUAGGCAGCAAGCGUUGUUCGGAGUUACUGGGCGUAAAGGGUGUGUAGGCGGCUCUCUAAGUUUGGUGUGAAAUCUCCCGGCUCAACCGGGAGGGUGCGCCGAAAACUGGGGGGCUAGAGUGCGGGAUGGGAGAGUAGAAUUCCUGGUGUAGCGGUGAAAUGCGUAGAUAUCAGGAGGAAUACCGGUGGUGUAGACGGCUCUCUGGACCGCAACUGACGCUGAGACACGAAAGCGUGGGUAGCAAACAGG